UACGGAGGGGGCUAGCGUUGUUCGGAAUUACUGGGCGUAAAGCGCACGUAGGCGGCUUUGCAAGUUAGAGGUGAAAGCCCGGGGCUCAACCCCGGAAUUGCCUUUAAAACUGCAUCGCUAGAAUUGUGGAGAGGUAAGUGGAAUUCCGAGUGUAGAGGUGAAAUUCGUAGAUAUUCGGAAGAACACCAGUGGCGAAGGCGGCGACCUGGGUAGAUACUGACGCUGAGGCGCGAAAGCGUGGGGAGCAAACAGG
RNAcentral lists this ribosomal RNA (253 nucleotides) under uncultured bacterium. RNAcentral describes it as "partial 16S ribosomal RNA". It matches the Rfam family "Bacterial small subunit ribosomal RNA", at positions 524 to 776 of the family's 1533-position model. The record is from RNAcentral.